AAAGACGGUUUCGGCUGUCACUUACAGAUGGACCCGCGGCGCAUUAGCUAGUUGGUGAGGUAACGGCUCACCAAGGCGACGAUGCGUAGCCGACCUGAGAGGGUGAUCGGCCACACUGGGACUGAGACACGGCCCAGACUCCUACGGGAGGCAGCAGUAGGGAAUCUUCCGCAAUGGACGAAAGUCUGACGGAGCAACGCCGCGUGAGUGAUGAAGGUUUUCGGAUCGUAAAGCUCUGUUGUUAGGGAAGAACAAGUGCAAGAGUAACUGCUUGCACCUUGACGGUACCUAACCAGAAAGCCACGGCUAACUACGUGCCAGCAGCCGCGGUAAUACUUAUGUGGGGAGCGUUGUCCGGAAUUAUUG
RNAcentral lists this ribosomal RNA (366 nucleotides) under Bacillus pumilus. RNAcentral describes it as "bacterial SSU rRNA". It matches the Rfam family "Bacterial small subunit ribosomal RNA", at positions 202 to 556 of the family's 1533-position model. Lineage: Bacteria; Bacillati; Bacillota; Bacilli; Caryophanales; Bacillaceae. The record is from RNAcentral.